GACGGAGGGCGCAAGCGUUGUUCGGAAUUACUGGGCGUAAAGCGCGCGCAGGCGGGAAUAUAAGUCUGGAGUGAAAUUCCGGGGCUCAACUCCGGAGCUGCUUUGGAUACUGUUUUUCUAGGGACCGGUAGAGGCCGGUGGAAUUCCCGGUGUAGCGGUGGAAUGCGUAGAGAUCGGGAAGAACACCCGUGGCGAAGGCGGCCGGCUGGGCCGGAUCCGACGCUGAGGUGCGAAAGCGUGGGGAGCAAACAGG
Molecule: ribosomal RNA, 253 nt
Filed under: uncultured bacterium
Lineage: Bacteria
Description: partial 16S ribosomal RNA
Rfam family: Bacterial small subunit ribosomal RNA
Source: RNAcentral